GGCCUUCCUCUUUGGGGCGAUCGAUCACGGGGCUCCACUAUUGAUUGCCCCAAAGAGGUAGGUC
RNAcentral lists this microRNA precursor (64 nucleotides) under Myotis lucifugus (little brown bat). Its description in RNAcentral is "mir-9242 microRNA precursor family". It matches the Rfam family "mir-9242 microRNA precursor family". Lineage: Eukaryota; Metazoa; Chordata; Mammalia; Chiroptera; Vespertilionidae. The record is from Rfam by way of RNAcentral.